GUUGAUUAUUCGACCUUUAUAAUAUAAAAAAACAAGGUACUGUCUUGUGGAAAGAGAGAGAGAGAGACAAUUAUUGCCACCUAUUGUCUGUAUUACAGCUACCUAGUCCACCUGCAUGGUCUUCACUGCCAAGAAAAAAGAAAUUGAAAGUGGUGAGGGAGUAUGGGAUACAGAGAAUUAAAAUAAACUUUGAUCUACUUAUUGUAAACACUUCAUUAUAUUGAGAACUUUCAUCACCUCUCUCAAAGCCAACUUCAUUUGAAGGAAAGUGAUGGAUUUAAAGGCUGAACUAAUUAAGGCUUUCAGGACCCUAGCAGGCCCAGGUUGCUGGUGGCCACUCCCCGGCCUGCUGCGGUUUCUGCGUGGUUCAGCGAGCUUUUUCAGGAGUCAACGGCAGUUCUGUGUUUGGGAUGUUUUGGGGAGACCUCAGCGAUGCAAGCUGAGUAACCAGGUGUCUCACACUCACUGUGCGGAAGAAUGAGAUGCAGCCAGUUCCCAGCAGGAUCAAAUUUAAGAGGAACACUCAUUGUUUCUUCCUGUAAGUCUAGAAAAUUUCCCUUUCAAAGAAAUAAACUGUAGUAAAUAUUAACAAUUUUAAAAAGCUGUACAAUAUAACUUUAAACUGCUUUUCAUAGCAGAGAAACAGACAUACAGAGAACUUCUCCCUGUCCUAAGUGUUCUAUUCCUGUGUAUAAAGUAGAUGCCACAUGCUGACAUUUCUCAAGUUUGAGCCUCAGUCUACACAUGGAGCUUUAGACUCUGAACUCAAGGGUGCUAAUAUGUGCCAUGCAAUAGUCCCCUUGUGCUUAUGCAGGAAGGAUGAUUCCUUACCUUCAAAGCAAUUACAUUUUGAACCAAAUCAAAUUUCUAACUCUGGAGUUCUCCUGUGAUGUUUCUCCGGCAUUUCAAAGCUAAUAUUUCCCAAAAGCAUCUCUUGACUUCUCUCUCUCCAAUCUAUCCCUUUCCCAUACUGCCCACAUCCCCUCCAUUUUAGUCCUCAUGAUCUUUGUCGACAGCACUACCAAGUGCCAAGUUCAAGACAAAAUCCUUCUUGUUUAUGCUCUUUUCCUCACAAUCCAUGAAUUCUGAUGCAAAUGUCUAUCUGGAAUAAGUCUUCUUUUAUCCAGCGCAUCAGUCCAAACCACCAUCAUCCUUGUUUUCUCAACUCUUUUCCUUUUUCACCUGUACUCAUACCCAGAAUUCAGGGUGAUCUUCACACAUAAUGAAUGAGUCACAUGGCACCAUCGUCCCCUACAAAAUCUGUGACAUACACUUUUGUUCUUUCAGUUCUGUUUCUUCUCUCUAGCUUCAUCAUGAACCACCCCCAAUUUAUUAUCUAUGCUCACCCGCCUUUCAGAAUGUAAUAAAUUUUUGUUCAGGAACUAGAUAACUAAUUCUUAAGGGUAUCUCAGAAACUAUUUCUAAUAACUUCUAUGUUAUCCAGUUACAACAUCUCAGCUCUCUCCUUGUAGAGUGAUUUUCUUAACUGUAUAACUUGUACAUGACAAAAACUAAGAGCAGACGAUGAAUGCACAUUUAGCAUACACAACAGAAGUUUCACUGUG
Long non-coding RNA from Fukomys damarensis (Damara mole-rat), 1565 nucleotides. Lineage: Eukaryota; Metazoa; Chordata; Mammalia; Rodentia; Bathyergidae. The record is from Ensembl.